GGGGAUAUGGCGGAAUUGGUAGACGCUACGGACUUGAAAAUCCGUUGGCUUUAUUGACCGUGAGGGUUCAAGUCCCUCUACCCCCA
Molecule: transfer RNA, 86 nt
Filed under: Leucobryum juniperoideum
Lineage: Eukaryota; Viridiplantae; Streptophyta; Bryopsida; Dicranales; Leucobryaceae
Also listed under: 19 other names
Description: tRNA-Leu
Rfam family: tRNA
About the family: Transfer RNA (tRNA) molecules are approximately 80 nucleotides in length. Their secondary structure includes four short double-helical elements and three loops (D, anti-codon, and T loops). Further hydrogen bonds mediate the characteristic L-shaped molecular structure. tRNAs have two regions of fundamental functional importance: the anti-codon, which is responsible for specific mRNA codon recognition, and the 3' end, to which the tRNAs corresponding amino acid is attached (by aminoacyl-tRNA synthetases). tRNAs cope with the degeneracy of the genetic code in two manners: having more than one tRNA (with a specific anti-codon) for a particular amino acid; and 'wobble' base-pairing, i.e. permitting non-standard base-pairing at the 3rd anti-codon position.
Source: RNAcentral